RNAcentral lists this small RNA (307 nucleotides) under Pongo abelii (Sumatran orangutan). Its description in RNAcentral is "Metazoan signal recognition particle RNA (ENSPPYG00000037299.1)". Lineage: Eukaryota; Metazoa; Chordata; Mammalia; Primates; Hominidae. The record is from RNAcentral.
GCCGGGUAUUGUGGUGCAUGCCUAUAAUCCGGGCUACUCAGGAGGCUGAGGCAGGAGAAUCGCUUGAACGUGGGAGGCGGAGGUUGCAGUGAGCUGAGAUCGCACCACUGCACUCCAGCCUGGGUAACAGAGCAAGAUUCCAUCUCACAAAAAAAAAAAAAAAAAGGAGGGGGGAAGUUUUUAGCUUUUUUUUUUUUUUUUUUUUUGAGACGGAGUCUCGCUCUGUUGCCCAAGCUGGAGUGCAGUGGUGCGAUCUCGGCUCACUGCAAGCUCCGCCUCCCAGGUUCACGCCAUUCUCCUGCCUCAG